This 1416-nucleotide long non-coding RNA is filed under the name Piliocolobus tephrosceles (Ugandan red Colobus). Its description in RNAcentral is "lncRNA (ENSPTEG00000005114.1)". The record is from RNAcentral. Lineage: Eukaryota; Metazoa; Chordata; Mammalia; Primates; Cercopithecidae.
AUGAGUAUAAAUACUGGUUUAUCUAAAUAUAAUCAAAUAUAUAAUACUAUAACAAAUUAUAAUAAUAUUAGUAGCAAUUUACAAUCUAGUAACAUAUAUAUGAAAAAUAAAAACUAUAACAAUAUAAAAAAUAAUAUUACAACCUCUCCAAAUGUUGAUAAUAUUAAUUUAUUGUUAACAAAUAAGGUACAGUUAAAUGAAAAUAAAAGAAUAAGUGAAUUAUUGAAAUCAAAUGAAUUACAAAAUGUUAUGACAGAUCAACUUGGGAAAAACAGAAUGUAUGAUCAUGAAUAUUAUUUGGAAAAAAAUGUAAAUGUGGUUAAUCUAUUUGGUCAAGGUCAAAGUCAAAGUCAAGGUCAAGGUCAAGGUCAAGGUCAAAGUCAAGAUCAAGGUCAAAGUCAAGGUCAAGGUCAAAGUCAAGGUCAAGGUGGAAGUAUACGAAGUGGUGAUAUAUGUACCGGUAGACGUAACAAUGAAACAACUAGCAAUAUAGAUAUUUUUGAUUUACAACUUGAUGAUAGUUUUGGAAAAAAUAUACAACAUAAACAGCACAUGUACAGCGAAAGUACAGAACAAACAUAUGAAGACGAAAAUGAGACAAACAUAAGUAGAAGUUUGAAUGACAUAUUGAAUUUUAAUACGUUUUCUGAUUUAUCCCUUAAUAAAGAAGAAAGUGAUAUAUUAAAUAAAAAAAAAAUAAAUAAUAUUAUAACUGACGAUUUUAAACUGGGUGAUACUUUAAGCUAUAAGAAUGUGCACAGCAUUAAUUAUAAUAAAUUACAAAGUCAACACAACACAAAUGAUUACAAACCUACAUUUAAUGAAAUAGAUAUAAGUACAAAUCAUUUGAAUAUGAAAAACAAAAGUUAUAUAACUAAUAAAAUUGGUUCUUAUGGCGAAGUUAUAGGUGAAAGUACGCGUUCAAAUGUUUUACCAAAAGUGGUACCAAAAUUGCUACAAAAAGUGCAACCAAAUGUGCUACCAAAAGUGGUACCAACUUUACUACAAAAUGCAAGUUUCAACUUAAAAACGGUAGAAGAAAAAACAAAACAAAAUGAUGUAGACCUAACAAAUAUUAAUCAAACCAGUGUAGACAUAGAUAAAAUGAAUCUAAGUAAUAUAUACAUAAGUAACGCAAAUAUAAACAAUCUGAACAAAAACUUUGUUAGUGGAACUAACAGUUCUAAUUCUGUAGUUUAUUCAAAUAAAGGUAUAAAUGAUAGUAUGAAUAAUGUAAAUGCUGAUGUUGAUACGAGUGUUGCUAUGGGUACUACUACAAGUAGCAACAGUGACAGACUGAAUCGGUUUAAUUAUCUUAAUUUUUUAAAAAGUAGUUUUAAUACGAGUGAGAAUAAACAAACAAACAAUUCAACUGGAUCGAAUAUAAUUAAUACAACAGUAGGAACAACAGGGUUU